UGAUCCUCCUGCCUAUGCCUCUGGAGUAGCUGGGGCUACAGCACUUUGUUCUACGCUCCAGCCCCUGUAGGAAAUGAGGGUAUCUAAGAGACUGCUUCGGCAUUCAGUGAGCGCACAGGUUAGCAGGCUGUUAAGAUGAGAAGGACCUGCUGUGUUUCACAUCAGACGCCACAUCAAAAACACUAAAAGCAACGUGGAAUGGAAUUCAGACAGGUCAGUGUUUGCGGGUGGAGAGAGGGAACAUGCAGGAAGAGGUCGCCAGGACUGG
Long non-coding RNA from Cebus imitator (Panamanian white-faced capuchin), 268 nucleotides. RefSeq lists it as uncharacterized. Lineage: Eukaryota; Metazoa; Chordata; Mammalia; Primates; Cebidae. The transcript is spliced from 2 exons. The record is from RefSeq and is a predicted model, not a curated record.